AGGUCCCACCAUUGGAAUCUUGCUAACGACAGCUAGCUUCCGCGAAGUAAUACCUAAUGGUGGUCCCGCGGGGGAAAGUGGUAGAUGAAGCGUGUGGGGGGUAGUUUUUAGUACGUGAAAAUCGUGCAUACUACUACUAAGGAAGCAGUAGUAUCUUUUGAAGAUUUUCUACCUCCUGCUCGC
This is a non-coding RNA of Glossina fuscipes fuscipes, 183 nucleotides long. NCBI's taxonomy places the organism in Eukaryota, Metazoa, Arthropoda, Insecta, Diptera, Glossinidae. The record is from Rfam.